Long non-coding RNA from Amyelois transitella, 1189 nucleotides. RefSeq lists it as uncharacterized. The record is from RefSeq and is a predicted model, not a curated record. NCBI's taxonomy places the organism in Eukaryota, Metazoa, Arthropoda, Insecta, Lepidoptera, Pyralidae. The transcript is spliced from 2 exons.
CAUUUGCAAAAUAGUUGUACAUACACUAAACAAAAUCUGUCUCCUUGAAUAUUUACUAUUUUAAUGUUGGAUUUAUAUGAUUAAUUCUAUUUUAUGUGCUUCUUAUAACUAUUAUUUAAACGUUUAUCACUUUUAUAACACUAGAUUUAUAAAUAAUUUCUAAAUUAGUAAUAAAAUUAAGACGUAAUUUAAUGCCUUUCAUACAAUAUUUUUUUGUCGCCCACACACUCCCUCUAAUUCAAACUAAUAAUUUGGUAUUUUAUGUUUUAAAUCUAAUUGUAUUUAGCUCAUAGUAGAAUAGGUGAAAAUAUUGUUUUACGCAAAACCGAUUGUUAUUAGUAAAAGAUAAUGCAUAGGCGAUUUAUUGGUUUUUAAUUAAAUGUCUCCAAUUUAUUUCUUUUGUGUAAUUCUUAUGUGUAACUGAAAUAUUAUGGCUAUUUAAUUGAUUUUGAACGCACUCAUAAUAAAUUUUAGUAUGGCAAUACUGUACGGUACUACCAACUUGACCAAAUGACAGUGCGGCCGGUCAUUUCACUUUGAGGUUAAGAAUCAUGGUGUGCUCGAGAUUUGUCAACAAAAAAUUCUCUUGUUUAACGUGGACUUUUCUGGUACCGAAAAAUGCCUCCGAUGACUCCAGCCGAACGCCAAAAAAAAUACAGAGAAAAAUUAAAACGCGAAAAUCCCGAUAAAUUAGAAAAAUUGAAAAAAGAGAAUGCUGAGAGGACCAAGAGAAAAUAUAAACCGAUUAACCAAUUUUCAGAUUAUUUGCAGAAUGAAAAACGAAAAAAAUGGCGAGAGCAAAAGCAGAAAAGAAAUGGUGAACCAUCCACUAGCAAACCAACCAACACUGCUGAAACGACUCAAAAAGAAAAACGUAAAGUUCGAUAUAUUUUAUCAAAAGAAAAUUCAGUAUUAAAAGACAAAGUUCAAAAGAUGGCUAGAGUUAUAAAAAAACAAAGAAGAGCUAUAUCUCGCUACAAAGUAAAAAUUGAAAAUUUAAAAAAAUCCAUAGACAAAUUAGAAGAGGACUUACAGUUUUGCGAAAAUUUAGACAAAAAUAUCACUACGAAAAAUAAAGAAGCAACAACACCAUGUUCAAAAACAGAAAAAUUUUUGGAAGAAACAGUGCCAAAUAUACCUACUCCAGAGAAAAAAAAAGUAAAAAAGGUGAUACUUGAAGGAUAUGUUU